UGAAAUGGAGUGGUUGGUGUAUUGUACAGUUCUAGAGAUUUGAUUUCACUCAAAACCCACCAAAUGACCCCUCCCACAAUAUUAUGAUGUUCCCCAUGUUUCGGACUCAAUCCGAUAUCAAUUGGUCCACGAAAUCGGACAAUUUAGGUUCAUACGAAAUUCGUUCUGAAAUGGUGUGGUUGGUGUAUUGUAUAGUUUCGGCAAUUGGAUUUCACUCAAAAUUCACAAAAUGACUACUCCCACAACAUUAUGAUGUUCCCC
RNAcentral lists this long non-coding RNA (261 nucleotides) under Prunus persica (peach). Its description in RNAcentral is "long non-coding RNA (PPER_LNC004676)". Lineage: Eukaryota; Viridiplantae; Streptophyta; Magnoliopsida; Rosales; Rosaceae. The record is from RNAcentral.